This is a non-coding RNA of Aegilops tauschii subsp. strangulata, 3785 nucleotides long. NCBI's taxonomy places the organism in Eukaryota, Viridiplantae, Streptophyta, Magnoliopsida, Poales, Poaceae. The record is from RefSeq and is a predicted model, not a curated record.
UCCUAACUCCCGAUCCCUUCCUGCCUCUCUCCCUUCCAUCGCCGGCGCUGUUGACUGGAUCGGGGUGCUGCGGACUGCCGGAUUGGACCCCCCUUGGAUCCACUAGCUUGAUGCUCUCCACCACCGCUGCGCCCACCAUGGCGGCCAGCAAGGCGUGGCUUUGGGUUGUCCCCGUACGGCGGCCGCAUGUCAGCGGCGAUGUACAGCUCUACGCUCUCCGCCUUCGGCCAGCUCCUUGCUUCCAGACGAGGCGUCCUCUGCAUCGUAGUCAUCUUGAGUUGCUGGCUCCUCCUUCGGGAUCGAUUUGACCUCCAGCUUGCUCUGCCACGGAAGAUCUUCAGUCCCUGGCAUAUGUGUUUUUCAUGUUGUGCUCCUACUGCCGUACGGCGGCAGCAUGUCGGCGGCGACGUACAGCUCUAUGCUCUCCGCCUUCGGCCAGCUCCUUGCUUCCGGACGAGGCGUCCUCUGCAUCGUACUCAUCUUGGUUGCUGGCUCCUAGCUCAUUCGGGAUCGAUUUGACCUCCAUCUUGCUCUGCCAUGGAAGGAUCUUCAGUCCCCUGGUACAUGUGUUUUCCGUGUUGUGCUCCUACUGCCCGGCUGUGUGUGUCAUUGGUGGCAUGGCAUGCGCACUCUAUAUGUAGAUGAAGCGGGCGGUUGCAGGCUGCUGCUGGCUACAUGCAGAGGAGGAUUAGGAUUGCAUAAAUGAUUAGGAGAGCUCACUUGAUUUGUUUGGGUCUCAAUUAGUUAAACCGCGAAUUGAUAUUUGUUUCUUGGUGCAGGAGCUUCAAGGCAACAAAGGCAGUAGGCUUCACGGCAACACAUUCUAUGAUUUUCUUCCCAAAUCUGAAACAUUUGGCCCCUAAAUUGUAGUCCCCUUGAGAAAGUCAGAGUAUUGAUGGUCUGGUCUAUGGAUGUUGACAAAUUUGAUUGCAGCCGGGACCGCAAAGAAAGUGCAGUGCUCACCGUUGUAGAUAUCUGCAGGGCAACAUCAAAUUUCAGUGAGAAGAACAUGGCCAGGCAGGGAGCUUCAUGCAUCAUUGUAUGUGGGAAUUCUUUACUAUUGUGAAUUGUUUUUGUUUCUUGGAGACACUAACCGUAGCUUCUUAUUAGUGCCUAGCAUGGUAAAAGAGCAAUAUUGUUGUGCCUUUCUUGGAAUCAGGUUCUUCUAUUCCAUAUGGCCACUCUCUUCCGCGAGCGCUGUCUCUGGCAAAAGUUUAGUGAGCAGUGCCUGCCGGAGUCGCAGGACUCCUGCUACCCGGAGGAGCAAUAUUUACGGACACCAGCUCGACGUGGCCGACCCCGCCGGCUGCACCUGGUACACGCUCAUGCGCAUCAACUAUACUGACAGUGUCGACGGCGACCCACAGACUUAUGGCGUGCCAGAGGUGUCGCUGCUGCUCACCGCCGAGCUACGUCAGUCCAACAACUCCACCUAUGAGCACAUGUUCGCGCGCAAGUUCGCGCCUGACUGCCUUGGCCCGCUCAUGGUCAUCGCAGACAUUGUCAUCUUCAAAGAUUGAUCGAUGUCUUUCUCUGCACCAUAGCUGCAUGUAGGAGCCGAUAGAUGGUGAAAACAUAUUGCGAAUGUCACUUCACUCCCUGAAUUCGUUUGAGAUGCUGCAGCAUCUUAUGAGACAAGAUGACUGAAGAACACUGAAUACUUAAUUUGCGAAAAUCUCCUACCUGAUUUAGUUUCCGAAUGUAAGCAUGUUGCUUCAUGUAAUUAGUGAAUAAAUCAGCAACUUGACUAAUUAGCUUCUUCAAUCAGAUUUAAAUCAUGGUUCAUGUAUUUGAAUAAUUUUAUUUUCACAAGUGAUAUCUGACAAAAAGGUGUCUAAUGGCAUGGCCAAGGUCGAUUCUUUUGAUACUUGCAUGAUUAUGUUUUUAAUUCCAUGGAGCUUCGUAAUUACGGCCUAUAAUUCUACACUUACUACUACGAUGAGCUAUAAGUCACUGUUCUAUGAAACAGUUAUCAGUUUGCGUGUAUCUGUCAUAGAACAUUCUUACAUGUUGAUAUCAUCUCUAUACUAGAAAAUUACUCACGCACCUUCUGGCUUAUUUUCAUAGACGAUGUGAUGCCAUGCAUUAUGAUCUUAUGCAAAUGAGGGGGUGUUUGUUUACAGGGACUUAUUGGUGUAGAGACUUAAAAAAGAAACAUGUAGGGACUUUUUAGGGACUAGUGACUUUUUAGUUGGGACUAAAAAAAGUCUUAGGACUUAUGAACCAAACAGGGCCUAAAUAGAAAAAAGUGGUUGCCUUUGAUACUCAUAUUUGUACAGUUUUAGGAGCAUAGGAAAUCUAUGCAUGGAAGCUUAUUAGUGCCAUUCCUAAAAAUAUCUUUUCCGACAAUCCAAUGAUAACCUACAAAAUGGAAACAUGCAUAAACUUCCAUAUGUGGGUAUGAAUUAGAUGAUAAAGUUCAUACACAUUUAGGAGCACAAAAAAUCUAUUUAUGAGAUUUCUGGGUGGCACCCUAUGAUAUCUUUCUGAGUAUAUAUUUAAGUCGUAAUACAAUCAUAUGAUAAACGUACAAAUCCAAAGAUAAAACACACAAAAGAAACAUAGAUAAAACUUUAGAUAUGGCGUAACCAUGUGUUCUUGGUUCAUAGCAAAGGGGAUAAAUUUUAGGAGGAAGGAGAGAUGAGGUGAGUUUCUGAAGUUCGCCAUACAAUCCAAGCAUCACAAAAGGUGACAUUACAAAUCCAGGAGACGAAGAAUUAUCCUGUUAAUUUCCUUUUAAAGGAAGGGAGUAGCUUGUGGAGGACGGCCCUCACAUCUAGCUCGGUGAGAUUAGUUUUCUUUAAAAUACAUUUCCUUGCGCUAGAGCGGUUGAAUGACAGGUGCUUGUGGUAGAUGAACUAAGCGUCAUGGAUUUGAGCAUGUUCAAAGGCAUCGUGAUCUGGUGAAAACCGCAACCACCGUAGACGAGGACGGGUGGAGGAUAAGCGGUCACAUGGGUAAGGUAGCACAUUAAAAUAGAGAGCGUUUGGGUUAUUAGGCUAGAGACGUGCGCUAUAUUUUUUUUCUCCCCUUGCAACGCACAGGUAUAUUUGCUAGUAGUACUUAUUCCCGAUAGGAGACAACGACACCGAGUUAGUUUGUGGUUAAUGCAGCAGGACGUCUAUUGCAGGAACUUUUUUUCUUCACGUUUUCAGUUCAGCAAGUUGCUGGGCCGGCCCACUAGGCGGAGCGUGCGAGCACUGCUGGGGCUUAAAGCGCCGAAAAGGAGCAGCCCAGUUUGUGUUUUCCGCUGCCAUUUUCUCUUUUUUUGAGAAUUUUGUAAUGUUUUCUAUAUCUUUUUGUUAUUUUUUAUGAUUUUCAUUUUCCUGUCUUUUUUAUUUUCUAGUUCAUGAUAGUUUUAGUACAUGAACUUUUGAAAGGGCACGAACACUUCUUGAAAUUUAAGAAUAUUUUAAAAAAAUUGUGAACACUUUUUUAGUGCAGAUUUUUUUUUUCAAAUUCAUGAACAUUCCUUAGAAUCAUGAAUUGUUUUAAAAUCUGUUAUAGUUUUUCUAAUUUAUGAACAUUUUCUAACAUUGGAUUAACUAUUUGCUAAUUCUCACCACAUGAAUUAAUUGUUGUAAGAUUGAUGCAAAUUAUCCUCUCUCGCGCGUGUUGUGGCUUUUGUCCUCCGUUCAUCCAGUUUGGUUGUUUUGUGUUUGAUUUCCAAACGGGUUGUUUGCCUUGUACGGGCCGUGUUGCCUUGUUUUUUCUAGCGGUCGUGUUUUCCUUUUGUGUUUUGUUGUGCUGUUAUUUUUUUCUCUUUUCUUUGCAACUCAGUGGCA